Molecule: ribosomal RNA, 466 nt
Filed under: uncultured bacterium
Lineage: Bacteria
Description: partial 16S ribosomal RNA
Rfam family: Bacterial small subunit ribosomal RNA
Source: RNAcentral
GAUGAACGCUGGCGGCGUGCUUAACACAUGCAAGUCGAACGGAAAGGCCCAAGCUUGCUUGGGUACUCGAGUGGCGAACGGGUGAGUAACACGUGGGUGAUCUGCCCUGCACUUCGGGAUAAGCCUGGGAAACUGGGUCUAAUACCGGAUAGGACCACAUUUUGGAUGGUGUGGUGGAAAGUUUUUCGGUGUGGGAUGAGCUCGCGGCCUAUCAGCUUGUUGGUGGGGUAAUGGCCUACCAAGGCGUCGACGGGUAGCCGGCCUGAGAGGGUGUACGGCCACAUUGGGACUGAGAUACGGCCCAGACGCCGACGGGAGGCAGCAGUGGGGAAUAUUGCACAAUGGGCGCAAGCCUGAUGCAGCGACGCCGCGUGGGGGAUGACGGCCUUCGGGUUGUAAACUCCUUUCGCUAGGGACGAAGCGUUAUGUGACGGUACCUGGAGAAGAAGCACCGGCUAACUACGUG